This 446-nucleotide ribosomal RNA is filed under the name uncultured bacterium. RNAcentral describes it as "partial 16S ribosomal RNA". It matches the Rfam family "Bacterial small subunit ribosomal RNA", at positions 338 to 795 of the family's 1533-position model. The record is from RNAcentral.
CCUACGGGAGGCAGCAGUCGAGAAUCAUUCACAAUGGGGGAAACCCUGAUGGUGCGACGCCGCGUGGGGGAAUGAAGGUCUUCGGAUUGUAAACCCCUGUCAUGUGGGAGCAAAUUAAAAAGAUAGUACCACAAGAGGAAGAGACGGCUAACUCUGUGCCAGCAGCCGCGGUAAUACAGAGGUCUCAAGCGUUGUUCGGAAUCACUGGGCGUAAAGCGUGCGUAGGGUGUUUCGUAAGUCGUGUGUGAAAGGCGCGGGCUCAACCCGCGGACGGCACAUGAUACUGCGAGACUAGAGUAAGGGAGGGGGGACCGGAAUUCUCGGUGUAGCAGUGAAAUGCGUAGAUAUCGGGAGGAACACUCGUGGCGAAGGCGGGUUCCUGGACAUUAACUGACGCUGAGGCACGAAGGCCAGGGGAGCGAAAGGGAUUAGAUACCCGUGUAGUC